UACGUAGGUGGCAAGCGUUGUCCGGAAUUACUGGGUGUAAAGGGAGCGUAGGCGGUUUGGUAAGUUGAGUGUGAAAUCUACCGGCUUAACUGGUAGGCUGCGCUCAAAACUGCCAAACUUGAGUGAAGUAGAGGCAGGCGGAAUUCCCGGUGUAGCGGUGGAAUGCGUAGAUAUCGGGAGGAACACCAGUGGCGAAGGCGGCCUGCUGGGCUUUUACUGACGCUGAUGCUCGAAAGCAUGGGGAGCAAAC
RNAcentral lists this ribosomal RNA (250 nucleotides) under uncultured bacterium. Its description in RNAcentral is "partial 16S ribosomal RNA". It matches the Rfam family "Bacterial small subunit ribosomal RNA", at positions 524 to 773 of the family's 1533-position model. RNAcentral also lists the same sequence under 1 other name. The record is from RNAcentral.